UAGGGAAUAUUGCGCAAUGGACGAAAGUCUGACGCAGCAACGCCGCGUGGGUGAUGAAGCAUUUCGGUGUGUAAAACCCUGUCAGUGGGGACGAACCGUAUGGCGAGUAACUGCGCUAUACCUGACUGUACCCACAGAGGAAGUCCCGGCUAACUCCGUGCCAGCAGCCGCGGUAAUACGGGGGGGACGAGCGUUGUUCGGAUUUACUGGGCGUAAAGGGCGCGUAGGCGGGUCUGCAAGUCGGUUGUGAAACCUGUCAGCUUAACUGACAGCCUGCAUCCGAUACUGCCGAUCUUGAGUACAGGAGAGGAGAGUGGAAUUCCAGGUGUAGCAGUGAAAUGCGUAGAUAUCUGGAAGAACACCAGUAGCGAAGGCGGCUCUCUGGACUGAUACUGACGCUCAAGCGCGAAGGCUUGGGGAGCAAACAGG
RNAcentral lists this ribosomal RNA (429 nucleotides) under Actinomycetes bacterium. RNAcentral's name for it is "Actinobacteria bacterium partial 16S ribosomal RNA". It matches the Rfam family "Bacterial small subunit ribosomal RNA", at positions 355 to 776 of the family's 1533-position model. The record is from RNAcentral. Lineage: Bacteria; Bacillati; Actinomycetota; Actinomycetes.